AGUGAGGUGAUUGCUGCUGGGAUGGUGGUGAAUGACUGGUGUGCCUUCUGUGGCCUGGACACAACCAGCACAGAGCUGUCAGUGGUGGAGAGUGUCUUCAAGCUGAAUGAAGCCCAGCCUAGCACCAUUGCCACCAGCAUGCGGGAUUCCCUCAUUGACAGAUUGGGUAACUCAAGGCGUCCCUGGAGUACACUGAGGAUAAGUGUUUGAGAAAUGCUGUCUGAAGGAAUGAAGUCAGUCUAUGACAACGUCUCUCUGCCGUGAAUCAUUCCUG
RNAcentral lists this long non-coding RNA (274 nucleotides) under Homo sapiens (human). Its description in RNAcentral is "HSALNT0400780". Lineage: Eukaryota; Metazoa; Chordata; Mammalia; Primates; Hominidae. The record is from RNAcentral.